Molecule: ribosomal RNA, 629 nt
Filed under: Streptomyces sp. ANA1203
Lineage: Bacteria; Bacillati; Actinomycetota; Actinomycetes; Kitasatosporales; Streptomycetaceae
Description: bacterial SSU rRNA
Rfam family: Bacterial small subunit ribosomal RNA
Source: RNAcentral
UGCAAGUCGAACGAUGAAGCCCUUCGGGGUGGAUUAGUGGCGAACGGGUGAGUAACACGUGGGCAAUCUGCCCUUCACUCUGGGACAAGCCCUGGAAACGGGGUCUAAUACCGGAUACGAGCUUCCAAGGCAUCUUGGAGGUUGGAAAGCUCCGGCGGUGAAGGAUGAGCCCGCGGCCUAUCAGCUUGUUGGUGAGGUAAUGGCUCACCAAGGCGACGACGGGUAGCCGGCCUGAGAGGGCGACCGGCCACACUGGGACUGAGACACGGCCCAGACUCCUACGGGAGGCAGCAGUGGGGAAUAUUGCACAAUGGGCGAAAGCCUGAUGCAGCGACGCCGCGUGAGGGAUGACGGCCUUCGGGUUGUAAACCUCUUUCAGCAGGGAAGAAGCGAAAGUGACGGUACCUGCAGAAGAAGCGCCGGCUAACUACGUGCCAGCAGCCGCGGUAAUACGUAGGGCGCAAGCGUUGUCCGGAAUUAUUGGGCGUAAAGAGCUCGUAGGCGGCUUGUCACGUCGAUUGUGAAAGCCCGAGGCUUAACCUCGGGUCUGCAGUCGAUACGGGCUAGCUAGAGUGUGGUAGGGGAGAUCGGAAUUCCUGGUGUAGCGGUGAAAUGCGCAGAUAUCAGGA